RNAcentral lists this microRNA (22 nucleotides) under Danio rerio (zebrafish). Its description in RNAcentral is "dre-miR-194b". Its record names the gene dre-miR-194b. Lineage: Eukaryota; Metazoa; Chordata; Actinopteri; Cypriniformes; Danionidae. The record is from miRBase by way of RNAcentral.
UGUAACAGCCGCUCCAUGUGGA